This 1625-nucleotide ribosomal RNA is filed under the name Microbacterium luticocti DSM 19459. RNAcentral's name for it is "bacterial LSU rRNA". It matches the Rfam family "Bacterial large subunit ribosomal RNA", at positions 1417 to 2925 of the family's 2925-position model. Lineage: Bacteria; Bacillati; Actinomycetota; Actinomycetes; Micrococcales; Microbacteriaceae. The record is from RNAcentral.
GAUGGACAACGGGUUGAUAUUCCCGUACCGGCGAAGAACCGCCCCAGUCAAUCCAGUGGUGCUAAGAGUCCUAGCCGGGACAUGCCGGAUCCCUUCGGGGUGAUGGUGGUCUCGUGUGAACGCUCGACCCCAUGCUGGUGCGGCUAGCGUAUUAACAGGUGUGACGCAGGAAGGUAGCCCAAGCCAGGCGAUGGUUGUCCUGGUGCAAGUGCGUAGCCCGACUCCUAGGCAAAUCCGGGAGUCAUCAAGGGUGAGACACGAUGCGGAUGAAAAGUGGGUGAUCCUAUGCUGCCGAGAAAAGCAUCGACGCGAGGUUCAAGCCGCCCGUACCCCAAACCGACUCAGGUGGUCAGGUAGAGAAUACCAAGGAGAUCGAGAGAAUCGUGGUUAAGGAACUCGGCAAAAUACCCCCGUAACUUCGGGAGAAGGGGGGCCAUCCACUUAUACCCACAUGCUGGGAAAAGGGUGUGGUGGCCGCAGAGACCAGUGGGUAGCGACUGUUUACUAAAAACACAGGUCCGUGCCAAGUCGCAAGACGAUGUAUACGGACUGACGCCUGCCCGGUGCUGGAAGGUUAAGAGGAGCGGUUAGCCGUGAGGCGAAGCUGCGAAUUUAAGCCCCAGUAAACGGCGGUGGUAACUAUAACCAUCCUAAGGUAGCGAAAUUCCUUGUCGGGUAAGUUCCGACCUGCACGAAUGGCGUAACGACUUCCCAACUGUCUCAACCGCGAACUCGGCGAAAUUGCAUUACGAGUAAAGAUGCUCGUUACGCGCAGCAGGACGGAAAGACCCCGUGACCUUUACUACAGCUUGGUAUUGGUAUUCGGUGUGGCUUGUGUAGGAUAGGUGGGAGACUGUGAAGCCCGGACGCCAGUUCGGGUGGAGUCAUUGUUGAAAUACCACUCUGGUCACUCUGGAUGCCUAACUUCGGACCGUGAUCCGGUUCAGGGACAGUGCCUGGUGGGUAGUUUAACUGGGGCGGUUGCCUCCCAAAGAGUAACGGAGGCGCCCAAAGGUUCCCUCAACCUGGUUGGCAAUCAGGUGUCGAGUGUAAGUGCACAAGGGAGCUUGACUGUGAGACUGACAGGUCGAGCAGGGACGAAAGUCGGGACUAGUGAUCCGGCAGUGGCUUGUGGAAGCGCUGUCGCUCAACGGAUAAAAGGUACCUCGGGGAUAACAGGCUGAUCUUGCCCAAGAGUCCAUAUCGACGGCAUGGUUUGGCACCUCGAUGUCGGCUCGUCGCAUCCUGGGGCUGGAGUAGGUCCCAAGGGUUGGGCUGUUCGCCCAUUAAAGCGGUACGCGAGCUGGGUUUAGAACGUCGUGAGACAGUUCGGUCCCUAUCCGCUGCGCGCGUAGGAAGUUUGAGAGGAUCUGACCCUAGUACGAGAGGACCGGGUUGGACGAACCUCUGGUGUGUCAGUUGUUCCGCCAGGAGCACCGCUGAUUAGCUACGUUCGGGAUGGAUAACCGCUGAAAGCAUCUAAGCGGGAAGCCGGCCUCGAGAUGAGACUUCCAUGGGCUACGGCCCGAGAGGCUCCCAGCUAGACUACUGGGUUGAUAGGCCGGAUGUGGAAGCGCAGCAAUGCGUGGAGCUGACCGGUACUAAUAAGCCGAUGACUUGAUAAC